This 450-nucleotide ribosomal RNA is filed under the name uncultured bacterium. RNAcentral describes it as "partial 16S ribosomal RNA". It matches the Rfam family "Bacterial small subunit ribosomal RNA", at positions 354 to 796 of the family's 1533-position model. The record is from RNAcentral.
GUGGGGAAUCUUCCGCAAUGGACGAAAGUCUGACGGAGCAACGCCGCGUGAGUGAUGAAGGUCUUCGGAUUGUAAAGCUCUGUUAAUCGGGACGAAAGAGCCUAGUGUGAAUAAUGCUAGGAAGUGACGGUACCGGAAUAGAAAGCCACGGCUAACUACGUGCCAGCAGCCGCGGUAAUACGUAGGUGGCAAGCGUUGUCCGGAAUUAUUGGGCGUAAAGCGCGCGCAGGCGGAUCUGCCAGUCUGUCUUAAAAGUUCGGGGCUUAACCCCGUGAUGGGAUGGAAACUACAGAUCUAGAGUAUCGGAGAGGAAAGUGGAAUUCCAAGUGUAGCGGUGAAAUGCGUAGAGAUUUGGAAGAACACCAGUGGCGAAGGCGACUUUCUGGACGAUGUCUGACGCUGAGGCGCGAAAGCUAGGGGAGCGAACGGGAUUAGAAACCCCAGUAGUCC